Long non-coding RNA from Canis lupus familiaris (dog), 720 nucleotides. RefSeq lists it as uncharacterized. Lineage: Eukaryota; Metazoa; Chordata; Mammalia; Carnivora; Canidae. The transcript is spliced from 3 exons. The record is from RefSeq and is a predicted model, not a curated record.
GUUAUAUUCUACUAUUGGGUUUAUAACUGACUGAAAGAUUUCACUAAGAAUAUGGCAUAAUUUUAAAAGGCAAAUUAAAAUAACAGUGAAUGAAGAGUUCAGCAGUCAGAUUGGCCAAAUUAUAAAGGUCUAUAAGAACAGAAUUCGAUGGAAAGAAUGAAUAUUCUACAGGAAAUGUUCAAGGAAGUAAGCAGGCUGAGUGGGUUGGAAGAUGCAAACCAGUCUUAUCUGAAAAUUUUGUCUGUUAUCUUAAGAAUAUUUCAAUAAUUAUCUCUCUGCAUGAUUAUUUUCUCUUCUGGAUGUCAAUUCCAUUUCUUUGGAGAAUAACCUCCAUUUAUUGAAUGUUAGCAGUCAUCACUAAUAGGGAAAUGAAAUUGAAACCACAGUGAGAUACCACCUCAUACUGAGUAGGAUGAGUACUGUUGAAAAAACUCCUGAAAUAACAAGUGUUAGCAAGGAUGUGGAGACUUUGGAACCCUGGUGCACUGUUGAUGGGAAUGUAAAAUGGUACAGCUGCUGUAUAGUGUUUCUUCAAAAAAUUAAAAAUAGAAUUAUCAUAUGAUCCAGCAGAUCCACUUCUGGAUAUGUAUUCAGAAGAAUUGAAAGCAGAGUCUCAAAGAGAUAUUUGUAUAUCCAUGUUCAAAUUCAAAGCAGCAUUAUUUAUAAUAGCUCAAAUGUGGAAGCAACCCAAGUGUUCAUUGACUAAUGAAUGGAUAAAGA